AUGAUUUGUAUAGUGAUACUUUGCGCUGCGUCAGUUCUUACCGGUACUGAUGCAAAGGUAAGGCGGGCCGCUGUGAGUCGAAAAGCUGCUCCCAAAAGCGCAGAUCAGUUGCUGAGCGAGCUUCAGGUCUUAGAGAAGAUUCGCCAAGACUCUUUGAAAAAAGCUUUCGGAAAUCCAAAAUACAAAGCAGAUCCCCGCAUGAUGGAAAAUCUUUCCGUCCUUUCUCUAGUCGACUCUCUCUUUCUUGAGUACCACAAUUACUACAACGCAAUGAACAAGUUGACUCGCUCCGAUGAGGAAUCGACGGCUGCUCACCAGGCUUUGGCGACCAUCAAGAGCUCCAGGGAACGUUUAAUAAAACUUUAUAAAGCCGUGACAGAGAAGGGAGGGAAACUCCAGAAACCCAAUGUUAGCACGGACAACCAAAUGAACUUGUUGGAGACUAUAUUUGGCAAGACUCUCAAGAAGAACGACGAAAUUGAGGCAGAACUUCGCGUUGAAUUUGAAAAGUCUCCGUUCAUAAACCAUAUGAAAGAUAUGCCGGAUCUACCCAACGAGUCUCCGUUUUAAUUUAAUCCACCUACACUGAUAAAGAUAUUUGUGUUCUUGUGUUACAAUGGUUAAGAUAGUAAGUGAAACAAAAACCAACAAAAAUUUUGUGAGUAAUAAAAACGUGAGCCACAGACGCAGAAUUUUUAUACAAUUUUAUUAUUCAGGUGCUAAUGCAUCUCAAAAAUAAAAACAAAAAUAUGCAUGUUUGGCUCACGUUUUUAUCACUUAUAAUUAUAUGUAGAUGCAACAUGUGGCUCAACAACUUUUAGUGUUGAUUUCGGUACAAUUUGCGGUGAAUUUAGCGCAAAAAACAAUAGAGAGACUGGGAGAUUGCAUUCCUCCGAUUGCAACGGUAUUCACCACUCAUUUUUUGUUAAAUUUCCUCACGAAAACUAGCUGGCAUUUUCUCUUGGAAUUGUCAACGUAAGGCUAGGAUAUAUUGUGUUUUAUCAAAACCUGUAUUGACCAAACUUUUGUGUUGAAAUUUCUGUCUGUGUAAGAAACCACUAAAUUUUGCGAAAAAGUUUGGUGCGUUGCCACCCAUAAUUCUUAUAAAUUGUCUCUUUCCCUCCACUUCUUAUGUGUGUAAACCCAUUUGUAUUUACAUGUAUAUAGUGCUGAUUGUCGUUUAUUGUGAAAAAUAUACCUUAUGCUAUAAAAAUUAAAAUUUACCAAUCACACUGAAAGUAUGAUCGAUCAAUACUACUUAAAAAUCGUAGCGAUUUUUCACUGAUGAUGUGAUCUAGGUCACAUCCAUAUAGUACCGAGGAAGCAUGUCAUUUCACGAUGAUACCACUAUUCGACUAUAUGAGAGCUCGUUUUGCCUACACUAAAUAUUGAAGGCAAACUGACAUGACGUUAAGGUAACCUCUUCUCUGGGUAAAAAGCUAAUAUUUAAGUAUGUUCGAAAUGAGUCCGACACACAGAAAAAAAGAAGUAGGGGUUAAGUCCCAACUUAGAAAUUUCCAAUUAUUUAUGGUAGUGCCAAAAAUAAUUGUGACAGUACCCCACUAAAUUAGGUCACUAACCCAAAUGUUGCGGUACCAUCUUACCAUAAGGAAGCUCUCAUUG
RNAcentral lists this long non-coding RNA (1623 nucleotides) under Bemisia tabaci. RNAcentral describes it as "lncRNA ENSASIAIIG001956". Lineage: Eukaryota; Metazoa; Arthropoda; Insecta; Hemiptera; Aleyrodidae. The record is from RNAcentral.